RNAcentral lists this long non-coding RNA (814 nucleotides) under Physcomitrium patens. RNAcentral's name for it is "long non-coding RNA (PPAT_LNC011072)". Lineage: Eukaryota; Viridiplantae; Streptophyta; Bryopsida; Funariales; Funariaceae. The record is from RNAcentral.
AAUGUAUUUAGAUUCUCUAUAAUAUAAGUACAAUCCUACUUGACGACGAUGAGUCUUUUCUUAUUUGAUAAGAAGUUUAAAACAUACUACAUCAAUUUGUAUAUCCUCUUUUUUUGAAUGUAUAUGUUGAAGAGAUGUUGGUGUUUCCAUCGAAUUGUAGAAACAUUGAGGCCCAUUUAUGCAACUCUUAGAUCGAAAUUAAAAAAGUCAAUUGUCAUAUUUCACAGCAAAGUCAAUUGCUUGACUCAAUGUUCGAAGAUUAAAUAAGUUGAACAUCAAUUUUUUUACUUCAUAUUAUAAUCCAUAGAAAAAUUGGCUAAUAAGUAUAGCAUCAUCCUUUUAAUAUCAGUUACAAGUUAUCAAAACUGUGAAGCAUAUAACGUUACAAAUCAAUUGCGUUGUCACAAAAUACGGAUCUUGUUAGUUGCAACUUAAGUUGUAUCAUGUUCUCUACACAUAGAUUGGAAUUCUUCCAAAAAUACCUCUAGAUUAUCUAAUAUUAGAUCUCGUUAUUUAAGAAAAGAUGAAAACUACAAUAGUGUUGAAUUUCAAAGAAGUAUAUCAAUGAAUCUAACUUGUGAUUCUAGAGUUGGAUAGCUUUGAAGUUGAAGUUCAAUCACAAGUUGUACUUGAUAGAUAAAUCCUCAAAAUUUGGAUCUUAUACCAUCAAACUUCUCAGACAAAGCAACUCUUAGUUCUUUAAUACUUGAAAGAUGUUCCAUUGUGGAUGAAGGGAUAUGAUUUGGUACAGAUAUUGAAGCUGUUUUAAUUAUCUCUAUAUUCUCACUUCCUACCAUUCUUGUUGAUCCUUGUG